Long non-coding RNA from Mus caroli (Ryukyu mouse), 397 nucleotides. RefSeq lists it as uncharacterized. The record is from RefSeq and is a predicted model, not a curated record. Lineage: Eukaryota; Metazoa; Chordata; Mammalia; Rodentia; Muridae.
CUAGGAGGGUAAGACAGUGAGGCCGGAAAGCUUAAGGCCCUGCCAGAGUCUCGCUCCAGCUUCCAGUGGGUUAAUCCGAGGAGAAGGGAAAUUGUUCCUGGCCCCGGAUGUGAGUCAUCACCAAAGGACUUUGUUCCUUCGGGGUGUGGUAGCAGAUCCAUUACAUCACAGUAUGUGAGAGAAAGCACCAAUGAGCUUCUGGUGGUGUUCUGGAGGCUUCUUGAAGCUCCCAAGGAUUCGAGCUGAUUGACAGAUGUUUCUUCUGGAUAGAACUGCCAUUGCUGACUCUCGAAUGAUGUUUGCCAGUGGAUCGAGCUACUGUGUGUAAACUGAACUGCUGAUAUCCUGACAACAAUGUUUGGAUGCAUCCCAAAGAACUAUUUCUAGCCAAGUCUAC